Molecule: long non-coding RNA, 3030 nt
Organism: Girardinichthys multiradiatus
Lineage: Eukaryota; Metazoa; Chordata; Actinopteri; Cyprinodontiformes; Goodeidae
Exons: 4
Source: RefSeq, a predicted model, not a curated record
AUAUUUAUUGCAAUUCAAGCAGUUCUUUGCAAUAUUUGCCUACAGUAAUAUUCUAUAUGCAAUAUAUGAUGCAGCCUUUGUUUGAAACUUUCUUACAGAGCCUCCCUAAGAGUUAAAAUAAAAAAGCAUAACCCUGCAAAGCUCAGUAAAUCCUGACACUUCCUACACUACUUCAACAGCUUUUUUUCUGUUCAAGCCUUUCUUCAACUUAUCAAUCCUCUCAGUAUAAAACAGAUUUACAUGGUGGCAGCCUUCUUUGGCAGCUUCAGAGACGGCGCUGAGUAGCCGUUAUUGUCAUGUUUGGUAUAAAGAGACCCAAGUGAAGAGACUAGCUGUGGCAAAAACAAAGUUUUUUAAUAAUGAAAUGAUGAACAAUUCUAGGGAAGAUUGCAGGAGGAACAGUCAUGGAGCAUGGGAAGAAUAACAUACAGGGUACAUGGCAAUGGACAAACAUGGCAGGAUUGUGGAAAAAUCCAGUAAAGAACAAAGAGAACCAGUGCUUGUAUGCUUAUAUGUUGAGGCAGGGGUGGAAAAUGACAAAUGAACCAGAAGAGCUAAUCAGAGGAAAUGUGGAACAGCUGUGGAUGGAUGAAAGCUAGAAAGCUGUGUGAGGGAGACUAAUUAACACACAAGAAGCUGAACGAAGACACAAAGAGAAUCUAAUCAAGGGGAAAAGACAAACAAUAAUCGAAGAUAAUGAAACCAGAGAAAAUAAACACAAAGAAAGGAACUAUAUAAAGAAAACACCUUUCUAACAUUAAUCAGCACAAGAAAAUGAACUGAAUAAGGCAAGACCUUAAGAACAUAACACACAGCAAGGAAAUUAUCAAAACAAACACAAAAGAAAAACAAAAACCCAGGGAUUGUGACAAUUUUGUACUGAAUCAUUCUGAUCAAAUGGUUGACAGAUCAGAGCAGGCUUGUAUGUAAUUCAUGUUCAACAUCCACUUGUCAAGACAUUAAACACGGCCAUACAGAGAGAUGGUUUUAUAGAGCAGAAGGGCAGCUGUGUGACCCCACGACAAUGCAGAGAUACGAACAGACAGGAUGAAGUCAGUAGCUUCCCAGAGCCCAACUGGGAGCACCUGAUGUCACUACCCUUUCAUUGCGGAUUUACUAAGCAGAAUCCUGUAAAUCACACCAUCCAACGGUUGAAAGAAGAAGCUGCGGAUGCUGGCUUGGAGACAGCUGAUGCCAGUUUGCAGGAGCAGCAGACCAUGACCAUGUGUGCAGUGGAUGAGACCUUAAAGAUAAUACAAGAAGAACGGGUGCUUUUUCUCUACUCAGGAGUAACAGAAGGCGUCUGUUAGGGCUACGUUGGGGCUGGCACCUAUCUUCAGCAGUCAUUGAGGUAGAGGUGGGGUGCACCCUGGACAGUAUGACAUGCUUCUGUGUGCCAAAAUUCAUUUUCAUUUGUAUCUCCAACAUUCCAUCUUAACUGGCACCAAACCAGGGAGCAUCAUGGUGGAUGAAGGGCCACAAGAAAAAGCUUUUACCUCAAAGAUGUCUUCAUAACAACAAAGAACGCUCAUCCAAUUUUCACAGCUCUUUUUAUUGCCUUUAUCUGCUUAAUAAUCUGUGUCUUAAGUAUCUUGGCAUUUAAUUAUGAUCUCACAUCAUAACAUAAUCCCUAGCUGUUUAAAUAAUCAUGCGAACCAUGCAGUAAGGACAAGAUGUAAGCCUAUACUCUCCACGGGUGCUACAGGAUCGUCCCAGACAAGCUACAGCUGCAAAGCCAGUGACCUGAAGCAAUUGACUGAGCUUUCCUAGAUAGAUAAGUUUUUACCCACUGGCAUUUUAUAAAUAGUUAAUUUGACUGUAUUGCAUUACUAUUCACAGAAAAAAACUGCAUGUAAUUGACCUUUCUGUCAUUUAAAAGACCUUAAGAUGAUGCAUUGUGUAUUGGCACCAAUAAAUAAACAAAAAUAUAUCAAGGCAUGAAAAAAGUGAAAGCAUAUUGAUAGUGAUUGGCCUGACUGCUUUUGCCUUUUAAAUUGCCAGUUGUUCAGCUCAGGAAGUGAAGGAUCACAACAGCAAAGGCCAUGACACUGAACCAACUCUCGAAAAGAAAGGGACACAAAGGUCUUAACAGUUUGUGAAUUAUCAGCACAACAUGUUAGCAUUGGGACUGAAAGAAGUUGUUGUCAGAUGUAAAUAGGAAUCUGUUGCAGUCUAUGUCCACAUUCAUAAAAUCUAAGUUUACAUGCCAAGUACAGCACCUUGCAAAAGUAUAGCUACCCCUUCAACGUUUUCAUAUUUAUCACAUUGCAAAUACAAACUUGAAUGUGAUUUCUUGGGAUUUUUUAUGUGAUAGCAGUAAUGCAUAACUGUGCAGUGUGAGUAAAAUGAUAGAUGGGUUUCACAAUCUUUACAAACUAAAAUCUGAUAAGUGUGCAUGUUAUUAUGUUCAGCCCAUCUGAAUCAAUACCUUUCAUUGCAAUAUAGCUGCAAAUCUUUAGGGGUAUGUCUCCACCAGCUUUGCACAUCUAGAGCCAUAAACGUUUGCCCAUUUCUAUGCAUAAAACAACUUAAGCUUAGUCAGAUUGGAUGGAAAACAUUUGUGAAUAUCCGUUUUCAUGUCUUGCUAAAGAUUCUCAGAUGUGGACAUUGUUAUUGAAACAGAUAAAUAUGCUUUGAUCUAAACUAUCUGGCUGCAUGUGUAUGGUCAUUGUCCUUCUGGAGGGUGAACCUCCAGUCCAAAUGCAACAUUUUGUAUUCUGAACAAAAGGUUCAGUUGUGUUUUUUGAUUAGAGCACCUUCUUCCACGUUUGCUGUGUCUUCUACAUGGCUUGUGGAAUGUUGCAAUUAAGACUUCUUAUGACUUUCUUUCUGUCGUCCAUUUAGAACAUAUUUGUGGUUUGUAUGACCAUUAGUUGCAUCUGUGCAGCUCAACAGAGUUACCAUGGGCCUUUAGGCUGCUUCUGUGAGGUUAUGAACAUAGACCGACCGGUAAAUCGAGAACUUUGCUUUUCAGCUCAGCUCUUUCAUCACCACAACGGACCGGCACAGCUUCCCCAAUACUGCGGCAGC